GAGGUGGUUACAACGAACUGCUAACUCACAGCCCCGGGCUAAGCCCCCGGCCACCUCU
Molecule: transfer RNA, 58 nt
Filed under: Heteronotia binoei (common prickly gecko)
Lineage: Eukaryota; Metazoa; Chordata; Lepidosauria; Squamata; Gekkonidae
Description: tRNA-Ser
Source: RNAcentral